CAACAUGAUAUAAUUCUGAGGCUAUGCUUGAACCCCUACACGAACUAGGCAUGGUGGGAAUGACUUAACUAAGUACAAUGACGCCAACAUGAUAUAAUUUUGAGGCAUCAUUCUCUAGAGGCCAAAUUAGAUGGGUACUUGCAAGAGAUGCAAAUGAGUAAGCGUACUCUCUCAUUAUUAUUAACGCUAGCCAACAUGAUAUAAUUUUGAGGUGGGCUUGGUAAUAGUGAGCCUCCCAUACCCUACUAAGAGUUUCCUCCAAAACUCUCGAAUUCCGAUGAGGGAUAUGGAAUUUGCCAAAAAUA
Molecule: long non-coding RNA, 305 nt
Filed under: Malus domestica (apple)
Lineage: Eukaryota; Viridiplantae; Streptophyta; Magnoliopsida; Rosales; Rosaceae
Description: long non-coding RNA (MDOM_LNC007481)
Source: RNAcentral